GUACGGGAGGUUGCGAGGUUCG
This 22-nucleotide microRNA is filed under the name Ornithorhynchus anatinus (platypus). Its description in RNAcentral is "Oan-Mir-1381_3p* (star (passenger))". Lineage: Eukaryota; Metazoa; Chordata; Mammalia; Monotremata; Ornithorhynchidae. The record is from RNAcentral.